UUAGGAAUUUUGGGCAAUGGCCGAAAGGCUGACCCAGCAACGCCGCGUGGGUGACGAAGGCCCUCGGGUCGUAAAGCCCUUUUCCCCGGGACGAUCGUGACGGUACCGGGGGAAUAAGCCUCGGCUAACUACGUGCCAGCAGCCGCGGUAAUACGUAGGAGGCGAGCGUUGCCCGGAUUCAUUGGGCGUAAAGGGCGCGCAGGCGGCCCGGAUCGCCCCGCGUGAAAGCCCCCGGCUCAACCGGGGAAGGUCGCGGGGGACGGCCGGGCUCGAGCCAGGCAGGGGGAAGCGGAAUUCCCGGUGUAGUGGUGGAAUGCGUAGAGAUCGGGAGGAACACCAGCGGCGAAGGCGGCUUCCUGGGCCUGGGCUGACGCUGAGGCGCGAAAGCGUGGGGAGCGAUCCGG
This 404-nucleotide ribosomal RNA is filed under the name uncultured bacterium. Its description in RNAcentral is "bacterial SSU rRNA". It matches the Rfam family "Bacterial small subunit ribosomal RNA", at positions 355 to 776 of the family's 1533-position model. The record is from RNAcentral.